This is a non-coding RNA of Musa acuminata subsp. malaccensis (wild Malaysian banana), 471 nucleotides long. The record is from RefSeq and is a predicted model, not a curated record. NCBI's taxonomy places the organism in Eukaryota, Viridiplantae, Streptophyta, Magnoliopsida, Zingiberales, Musaceae.
CUUCCGAACUGACGCCUCCGUCUCCACCGACAGUUCCUCGAACCUGACUUCGACCUUGGGAGCCUCAACGCCCAACCUGAAAUCACCAAGCAACAUCUUACAGAUACACUGCAACACAGUAAUGGGGACCUUCGACAUGGCGGAAGAUGAUGGGUUUGACCUGCACCUGCAGAGGGCCUGUUGCUCGUCAUCACAACGUCGUUGCAUGAGAAGUCUGGCAGCGGUCACAGUCAUUCCCACGUCAGAAACUGGGUGGAAGCUGCGAGCUCGACGUCCGCCGUAGAAGUCCAUGCAGCAUUUAUUUCUUUUAUCCGUGGCGGUCAGAACUUAUCUAACACCGAAGACAUUCUCCCAUUAAUUAUGCCAUUUCGUGCACGAAAAUAAGUGGCCAUUAUGAGCAUGUCGCACGAGGUGGCCCGUCGCAUGACCUACUUGCAUGCACUGCUACUGUGAUCAUCGGGUAAACGUCGU